UUUGGCGGACGGGUGAGUAACGCGUGGGUAACCUGCCUUAUACAGGGGGAUAACACUUAGAAAUAGGUGCUAAUACCGCAUAAGCGCACAGCUUCGCAUGAAGCGGUGUGAAAAACUCUGGUGGUAUACGAUGGUUCCGCGUCUGAUUAGCUAGUUGGUGGGGUAAUGGCCUACCAAGGCAACGAUCAGUAGCCGGCCUGAGAGGGUGAACGGCCACAUUGGGACUGAGACACGGCCCAAACUCCUACGGGAGGCAGCAG
RNAcentral lists this ribosomal RNA (260 nucleotides) under uncultured bacterium. RNAcentral describes it as "partial 16S ribosomal RNA". It matches the Rfam family "Bacterial small subunit ribosomal RNA", at positions 94 to 354 of the family's 1533-position model. The record is from RNAcentral.